RNAcentral lists this ribosomal RNA (314 nucleotides) under uncultured Chytridiomycetes. Its description in RNAcentral is "partial large subunit ribosomal RNA". It matches the Rfam family "Eukaryotic large subunit ribosomal RNA", at positions 40 to 350 of the family's 3401-position model. The record is from RNAcentral. Lineage: Eukaryota; Fungi; Chytridiomycota; Chytridiomycetes.
AUAUCAAUAAGCGGAGGAAAAGAAACUAACAAGGAUUCCCCUAGUAACGGCGAGUGAAGCGGGAAAAGCUCAAUUUUGAAAUCUCACUGGGUUCCCAGUGCGAAUUGUAGUUUCGAGGAGCGUUUUCGGGGACGGCCUAGGUCCAAGUCUGUUGGAAAACAGCAUCAAAGAGGGUGAGAAUCCCGUUUUGAUCUGGUGUCCGUUCCUGUGUGAUACGUUUCCAAAGAGUCGGAUAGUUUGGGAUUGCUGUCCAAAAUGGGUGGUAAAUACCAUCUAAAGCUAAAUAAUGGCGAGAGACCGAUAGCGCACAAGUA